GCCUUAGUAACCACCCUUGAGAUUAUUAUUAUUAUUUUUUUUUUGAGAUCAAUGAAAAAUUCAUUUCUAAUGGGAACAAUUCACAAAUUCUGGUAGGACACCAGAGAAGUAAAAAUCAGAACAGCUAGAGAGAGCAAACUUUGCAAGCUGAUCUGCUAAAGAGAUAUAGGACCGCCUAACCUAACUCCCACGAACAUCUACUUCUAUCGCAAGCUCUCUAGCUAAUAUCUUCCAACAAAAAUUCAAGGGGUGAGAAAUUCAGAAGUUGAAGUUUGAGUUUUGAAAAUUAGCUCCUGCAGUCAGUCUCAACCACCAAGCCUUAGAAUCCUUUAUUCUUCACCACCAAGAGACCUUCACGAAUUGCCAUCCCUUCACCCAUUGCAACAGUAGUUGCUCUAUUCAUCAACAGAAAUAAUAACAAAUAAAAAAAGAACUUACUUGCAGACAAGGUGUAGAGGAUUUACUCCAACAUUUUUCUCACCCAAGGCAAGCCCAAUACAGUUCUCAAU
Molecule: long non-coding RNA, 509 nt
Filed under: Salvia miltiorrhiza (redroot sage)
Lineage: Eukaryota; Viridiplantae; Streptophyta; Magnoliopsida; Lamiales; Lamiaceae
Description: long non-coding RNA (SMIL_LNC003289)
Source: RNAcentral